UACGGGGGGAGCAAGCGUUGUUCGGAUUUACUGGGCGUAAAGGGCGCGUAGGCGGCCACCGCAAGUCGACUGUGAAAUCUCCGGGCUUAACCCGGAAAGGUCAGCCGAUACUGCGGGGCUAGAGUGCAGAAGGGGCAACUGGAAUUCUCGGUGGUAGCGGUGAAAUGCGCAGGAUAUCAGGAGGAACACCGGUGGCGAAGGCGGGUCUCUGGGGCCGAUGACUGACGCUGAGGAGCGAAAGCAUGGGUAGCGA
RNAcentral lists this ribosomal RNA (253 nucleotides) under uncultured bacterium. RNAcentral's name for it is "partial 16S ribosomal RNA". It matches the Rfam family "Bacterial small subunit ribosomal RNA", at positions 524 to 771 of the family's 1533-position model. The record is from RNAcentral.